UGAGUCUUCGCUUGUGCCAGAAAU
Molecule: non-coding RNA, 24 nt
Filed under: Rattus norvegicus (Norway rat)
Lineage: Eukaryota; Metazoa; Chordata; Mammalia; Rodentia; Muridae
Source: RNAcentral